UAGGGAAUCUUCCGCAAUGGACGCAAGUCUGACGGAGCAACGCCGCGUGAGUGAAGAAGGAUUUCGGUUCGUAAAACUCUGUUGUUAGAGAAGAACAGCGCAUAGAGUAACUGUUAUGCGUGUGACGGUAUCUAACCAGAAAGCCACGGCUAACUACGUGCCAGCAGCCGCGGUAAUACGUAGGUGGCAAGCGUUGUCCGGAUUUAUUGGGCGUAAAGCGAGCGCAGGCGGUUAGAUAAGUCUGAAGUUAAAGGCAGUGGCUCAACCAUUGUAGGCUUUGGAAACUGUUUAACUUGAGUGCAGAAGGGGAGAGUGGAAUUCCAUGUGUAGCGGUGAAAUGCGUAGAUAUAUGGAGGAACACCGGUGGCGAAAGCGACUCUCUGGUCUGUAACUGACGCUGAGGCUCGAAAGCGUGGGUAGCAAACAGG
RNAcentral lists this ribosomal RNA (428 nucleotides) under Bacteroidota bacterium. RNAcentral describes it as "Bacteroidetes bacterium partial 16S ribosomal RNA". It matches the Rfam family "Bacterial small subunit ribosomal RNA", at positions 355 to 776 of the family's 1533-position model. The record is from RNAcentral. Lineage: Bacteria; Pseudomonadati; Bacteroidota.